AGCAGGGACGAAGCGCAAGUGACGGUACCUGCAGAAGAAGCGCCGGCCAACUACGUGCCAGCAGCCGCGGUAAGACGUAGGGCGCGAGCGUUGUCCGGAUUUAUUGGGCGUAAAGAGCUCGUAGGCGGCUUGUCGCGUCGACUGUGAAAACUUGGGGCUCAACUCCAAGCUUGCAGUCGAUACGGGCAGGCUAGAGUUCGGUAGGGGAGACUGGAAUUCCUGGUGUAGCGGUGAAAUGCGCAGAUAUCAGGAGGAACACCGGUGGCGAAGGCGGGUCUCUGGGCCGAUACUGACGCUGAGGAGCGAAAGCGUGGGGAGCGAACAGGAUUAGAUACCCUGGUAGUCCACGCUGUAAACGUUGGGCGCUAGGUGUGGGGGACCUCUCCGGUCUUCUGCGCCGCAGCUAACGCAUUAAGCGCCCCGCCUGGGGAGUACGGCCGUCAGGCUAAAACUCAAAGGAAUUGACGGGGGCUCGCACAAGCGGCGGAGCAU
RNAcentral lists this ribosomal RNA (492 nucleotides) under uncultured bacterium. Its description in RNAcentral is "bacterial SSU rRNA". It matches the Rfam family "Bacterial small subunit ribosomal RNA", at positions 438 to 940 of the family's 1533-position model. The record is from RNAcentral.